Molecule: long non-coding RNA, 232 nt
Filed under: Elaeis guineensis (African oil palm)
Lineage: Eukaryota; Viridiplantae; Streptophyta; Magnoliopsida; Arecales; Arecaceae
Description: long non-coding RNA (EGUI_LNC024593)
Source: RNAcentral
GUUGGAAUCAUAGCUAAAUAGAUUUGGGACUAAAGGGAUCAAAUUUUCUUGUUAUCCCCUUCACAAGGAUCAAUGACAGUGUUGGGGGAAAAUUUGUCACUUAGGCCAAAGAUAUGAAUUAACAUAAGGGUAGAUGAUAUGAUAAGCAAGAUCGAUGUCACAGCACAGUCAGGAAUGAAAAUGUGUGAUCCCGAAGAAAUAUGUUUCUUCUGCACCAUACAAAAAAUAUCUG